UUUGGUUCUCACUCAAGAAAAUAUUUCUUUAUUUGGCUUAAAAAGGAAUACAUAUAUUUCUCUAUUUAAUCUCGUAUUCUACGAAAAUUCUUUUCUCUCACAUCAAAAACUAGAUUUUGAAGAUGGCGAAAAAAGUGGAGGUGAUUUCUUCAUCUCUUGUCCGCGGCACUGCUACGGCUGCUUCAAUGUCAAGAUUAGAGCUUAAUCCAUGGGAUUUACGAUUCCUCUCAUUCGUCCCCAGUGAAAGAGGCCUCAUAUUCCACAGCCCUCACUUUCAAUCCAAGCAAAACCUAAUCCAACACCUCAAAAACUCCCUCUCCCGCGCUCUCGACUUCUUCCCUCCCCUCGCCGGCCGCCUCGCCGCCACCAGUCACGGCGGCGACACGGCGAGCUUCUUCGUGGACUGCAACAACGCAGGAGCCGAGUUCACUCAUGCAGUCGCCGCCGCCGUCUCCAUCUCCGACAUCAUUGAGCCGAGGUAUAUACCGGAAAUCGUAUCCUCCUUGUUCCCGAUCAACAUCGGCGUCACCAAUUACGAAGGAAUUUCAAAACCUCUGUUGGCGGUGCAAGUCACGGAGCUCGCCGACGGCGUCUGCAUCGGCUGCGCCGCCAAUCACGCCGUCGUGGACGGCACCUCCUUCUGGCAUUUCUUCAGUUCCUGGUCGGAGAUCUCCCGCGGUUUGAAAUCGAUUUUGAAAUCCCCAAUUUUCGACCGCGCCGCCAUUGAUAACAGACUCAUCCAUAUCCCUACAUUAGAGAAAAACCUAAUCGCUCCAUCUCAAUUGCCGCAGAAGGUAUUCCACUUCAGCAAGGAAAAAUUAGGUCAAUUGAAGGCUAAAGCCAAUUCCGAGGCCGGCACUGACAAAAUAUCUACUCUGCAAGCACUCAUGGCUCAUCUAUGGCGGAGCGCAGUUAGCUCUCAGACCACCAACGAUUCAACCACUCGCGUUAUACUAUUCGCCGUCGGUGCAAGAGCGAGGAUGUCGUCUUUGCCGGAUGCCUAUUUCGGGAACGCAUCUUACCUUGCUGUGUUGGUGAUUAGCGAGAGCGAUCUAUUGCAGAGAGGAUUGGGCGCCGCCGCGCUCAGGAUCAACGACCUGAUUUCUCGGCAAACCGACGAAGCGGCGGUGCGCGACUUGGCGAAGAAGGUGGAAUUUCUCGCGUCUGACGGGAGUGGCGCUCCGCCGCCUCUUAUCAUCGGGAGUUCUCCGCGACUCGACGUGUACGGGUGCGAUUUUGGGUGGGGGAAGCCAAUUGGUGUGAGGAGUGGGAAGAUGCAGAAAAUGGAGGGGUUGGUGUUAGUUUUUCCGGCGGCGGAGGGCGGCGGUAUCGACGUAGAAGUUUGCUUGGCGGAGGAGACAUUAGAUGCAAUGGAGUGUAUGAUGCGUUAAUAUAUGGGUUUUUGUAUUAUUCGUGUUUCAUGGUUGAAUCUUGAAUGAAGGAUCGUAUAAAAAAUAUAAUAAACUUAAUCCCUUAUUUAUUUUGAUGGAUCGUAACUUUGAGAUAUUUCAAGGCUCUUGAUUAUUUUUUUUAUUUAAGUUAGUUUUGUUUAAUUCUAAUCCGAUCAAAAUGGUGAAAUUAGAAUAAUUCUAUUUUUAAGGACAAAAAUACUCAAUUCUCUAUUUUAUCAAUCAUACUAAGUAAAUGUCCCCUUAGGGCUCGUUUGGUGCUCAGUAAGGAAUUAGUCAGUAUAGUUAGUAAACUAGAUUAUUAGCGUGAAUAAAUAUGUGUUACUAAUAUUGGUUGGUUGUUUGCUAUUAUGGUUAAUUAAUCAUGAUUUUUGUUUGGUAUCCAUAUUUCUAGAUUAGAUAAGUUUAAAAAUGGACACAAUUGAAGGGUCGUAUUAAUUAUCCUGCAUAAUCCGAGGGGAAGGCGGUAUUAAAAAUGGACACAAUUGCAUGACCUUUUGUGAAAGUUCGGAAUUAAUAUUUACCACUAAAAAUUGAAAUUAAAAAAAAUUAUAUAUCCUAACUAUGAAUUAAUUAAUCCAAAUAAUUCAUUAUUAAUUCAAAUAAAUAUAACAAAAAAAAAUUAUAAACCCUCAUUGUAUGAGCUAGUGAACCCUUGUUAAUUAAUUCAUCUGUCUCAAAUUUUGGUAUCUAUGGACUACAUUCUCAUUUUAAUUCGUCCCAUAUUUUGAUAUGUAAUAGUAAAAGAUUUAUUGAGAAUAUAUAAACAUUUAUAUAACAUAUAACGACAAUAAUAAUUAAAAAAAACAAAACAAAUUUGGAAACUUAAGGAUUUACAUUCAACAUACAUAGAUUACACAAAAAUGGACCACAAACAAAUUUGGAAACUUUAAGGAUUUAUUCAAGCAUUUACAUUCAACAUACAUGGAUUACCCAAAAAUGGACAACAAACAAAUUUGGAAACUUUAAGGAUUUAUUCAAGCAUUUACAUUCAACAUACAUAGAUUACACACAAAUGGACAACAAAAUUACAUUUUAUAGCUGUCCAACACAUUAUUAACUUUCCAACACAAUAAGCUUCACUCAAACCCUCUCUCUCUCUUCAAAUCUACAGCAAAAUGAAAAUCUAUUUCCAGCUAACAUCUAUUUAAUCUGUGUAUUCUACCAAAAAAAUUUCUCUCUCACACCCAACAUUAGAAUUUGAAGAUGGCAAAAAAAGUCGAGCUGAUUUCUUCAUCUCUUGUUCGCGCCACUGCAACUGCUGCUUCAAUCUCAAGAUUAGAGCUUACUCGAAGCGAUUUAUGGUUACUCACACACUUUCCCGUUCAAAGAGGCCUCAUAUUCCACAGCCCUCGCUUUCAAUCCCAUCAACACCUAAUCCAACACCUCAAAAACUCCCUCUCCCGCGCUCUCGACUUCUUCCCUCCCCUCGCCGGCCGCCUCGCCGCCGCCCCGUACGGCGGCGACACGGCCAGCUUCUCCGUGGACUGCAACAACGCCGGAGCCGAGUUCACUCACGCAGUCGCCGCCUCCGUCACCGUCUCCGACCUCCUCGGGCCGAGCUACACGGAAAUCGAUUCUUCCUUGUUCCCGAUCAACGUCGGCGUCCAUAAUUUCCAAGGAAUUCAAAGCCUCUAUUCGCGGUGCAAGUCACGGAGCUCGACGACGGCCUCUUCAUCGGCUGC
RNAcentral lists this long non-coding RNA (3094 nucleotides) under Salvia miltiorrhiza (redroot sage). RNAcentral's name for it is "long non-coding RNA (SMIL_LNC006567)". The record is from RNAcentral. Lineage: Eukaryota; Viridiplantae; Streptophyta; Magnoliopsida; Lamiales; Lamiaceae.